This 924-nucleotide small RNA is filed under the name Pongo abelii (Sumatran orangutan). Its description in RNAcentral is "processed transcript". The record is from RNAcentral. Lineage: Eukaryota; Metazoa; Chordata; Mammalia; Primates; Hominidae.
GAGCGGAGGAGCAGUCGCAGCUGCUUUCCGAGGAAGCCGGUGUUGCCGAGAUUGCCAAAAUGCUUUGGAGUUUUUAACUGAAUCUAAGAAAAGUCCAAAAUAGAUCUGAGACUGUAAAAACAGAAACUGCAGCAAGGGGGAUUCAGUGCCAAUGCAUCAACAAAAAAGACAACCAGAGUUAGUGGAAGGAAAUCUUCCUGUUUUCGUGUUCCCCACGGAGCUCAUAUUUUAUGCAGAUGAUCAGUCAACACAUAAGCAAGUGUUGACACUGUACAAUCCCUAUGAGUUUGCCUUAAAGUUCAAAGUGUGAUUCGUCAUCGAGAUGUUCGAUCGUGUCACUAUGGUGUAAUAGACAAAUUCCGUCUCCAAGUUUCUGAGCAAAGCCAAAGGAAGGCUUUGGGAAGAAAAGAGGUUGUUGCUACUCUUCUCCCAUCAGCAAAAGAACAACAAAAGGAAGAAGAGGAAAAAAGAAUAAAGGAACAUUUAACUGAAAGUUUAUUUUUUGAGCAGUCGUUUCAACCAGAAAACAGAGCUGUAUCCUCAGGACCUAGUUUACUAACUGUCUUCCUGGGAGUGGUGUGCAUUGCAGCCCUGAUGCUGCCUACACUGGGGGAUGUGGAAUCGCUGGUGCCUCUCUACCUCCACUUAAGUGUGAAUCAAAAAUUAGUGGCUGCUUAUAUCUUAGGUCUUAUCACAAUGGCCAUACUUAGAACAUGAGCAAGGAUUUCAAUUGACUUCUGAAGUAAAUCUGUCUUGAAAAUAUGAAUGUGGACUGCCUUUUAUCUCUAUUUCACUCCAUUAACAUGCAGCAAACUAUUGAAUGAUUUCAAAUAAUUGCAAAUGUAUAAUAUAUAUUUUAAAUUAUAAUUUAAUUUGAAGGACUGCAGAACAUUAUUUUACAGACAGCAAGGAUGCUUCUGAGUG